CCAGAAGUUGUAGAAUUUGGACUGUGGCUUACACGACCACAUGAGAUCCACGGGGAGCUGGAGGAGCCUGGAGCCUGUCUGCAUCCCUGCCAUCUAGGACGUCAGCAGAGAAGCCACAGGUCGGGAGCUGCAAAGAUGGAUGCCUUGUGCCCUGCCCCAGCCUCCCAAGGGUAAAGGAAUAUGGCUGCACCUUUCCUUCCAUCUUCCAAGUCUCGCACAUUGCUAGGGUUUGAAUGUGUCCCCAGAUUUCACGUGCUGGAAAUUUGAUUCCCAAUAUGGCAGUAUGGAGGAAUGAGGCCUUUCAGAGGUGAUUGGUUAUGGUGAUCCUGCCCUCAUGGAUGGGUGGAUUCAUUCAUGGACUAAUGGGUUCAUGGACCAAUGGAUUAUCAUGGGAGUGGGGCUGGUGGCUUUAUAAAAGAGGGGAUGGGCAUGGUGGCUCACUCCUGUAAUCCCAACACUUUGGGAGGCCGAGGCAGGUGGAUCACUUGAGGUCAGUAGUUCAAGACCAGGGCAACAGGUGAAACACCAACUCUACUAAAAAUACAAAAAUCAGCCGGGUGUGGUGGCAGGUGCCUGUAAUCCCAGCUACUUGGGAGGCUGAGGCAGGAGAAUUGCUUGAACCCUGGAGGCAGAGGUUGCAGUGAGCCAAGAUUGCACCAUUGCACUCCGCCUAGGCAACAGAGUGAUACUCCAUCUCAAAAGAAAAAAAAAAAAAAAAGAGGACGAUAAAUCUGAGCACCUUAGCACCCUCAGCCCCCCUUGCCAUGUGAUGCCCUGACCACCUCAUGACUCUGCAGAGAAUCUCCACCAGCAAGAAGGCCCUCACCAGAUUUAGUCCCUAGACCUUGGACUUCUCAGCCUCCCAAAAUGUAAGAAAU
RNAcentral lists this long non-coding RNA (878 nucleotides) under Pan troglodytes (chimpanzee). Its description in RNAcentral is "long non-coding RNA NONPTRT009377". Lineage: Eukaryota; Metazoa; Chordata; Mammalia; Primates; Hominidae. The record is from RNAcentral.